Molecule: transfer RNA, 85 nt
Filed under: Felis catus (domestic cat)
Lineage: Eukaryota; Metazoa; Chordata; Mammalia; Carnivora; Felidae
Rfam family: tRNA
About the family: Transfer RNA (tRNA) molecules are approximately 80 nucleotides in length.
Source: Rfam by way of RNAcentral
GCCUGGGUGGCUCAGUCAGUUGAGCGUCCGACUUCGGCUCAGGCCAUGAUCUCACAGUUUGUGGGUUCGAGCCCCACAUCAGGCU